RNAcentral lists this ribosomal RNA (603 nucleotides) under Hansenula anomala. RNAcentral describes it as "Wickerhamomyces anomalus partial large subunit ribosomal RNA". It matches the Rfam family "Eukaryotic large subunit ribosomal RNA", at positions 41 to 657 of the family's 3401-position model. Lineage: Eukaryota; Fungi; Ascomycota; Saccharomycetes; Phaffomycetales; Wickerhamomycetaceae. The record is from RNAcentral.
UUUCAUAUUACGGAGGAAAAGAAACCAACAGGGAUUGCCUCAGUAACGGCGAGUGAAGCGGCAAAAGCUCAAAUUUGAAAUCUAGCACCUUCGGUGUUCGAGUUGUAAUUUGAAGAUGGUAACCUUGGGUUUGGCUCUUGUCUAUGUUCCUUGGAACAGGACGUCAUAGAGGGUGAGAAUCCCGUCUGAUGAGAUGCCCAUUCCUAUGUAAGGUGCUAUCGAAGAGUCGAGUUGUUUGGGAAUGCAGCUCUAAGUGGGUGGUAAAUUCCAUCUAAAGCUAAAUAUUGGCGAGAGACCGAUAGCGAACAAGUACAGUGAUGGAAAGAUGAAAAGAACUUUGAAAAGAGAGUGAAAAAGUACGUGAAAUUGUUGAAAGGGAAGGGCAUUAGAUCAGACUUGGUGUUUUACGAUUAUCUUCUCUUCUUGAGUUGUGCACUCGUAUUUCACUGGGCCAGCAUCGAUUCGGAUGGCAAGAUAAUGGCAGUUGAAUGUGGCUUCACUUCGGUGGAGUGUUAUAGCUUCUGCUGAUAUUGCCUGUCUGGAUCGAGGGCUGCGUCUUUUGACUAGGAUGCUGGCGUAAUGAUCUAAUGCCGCCCGUCUUAA